AUGGCAGGUAUAGCAGCCCUGCUACAUCUUCUGCAGCUUCUAGCCACCGCGUUAGUGCUAGUCUCGGCCAACGCUGCAUCGCCCAACUGCACAAGCAGAUGCGGCAAUAUAAGUAUACCUUGCCCAUUCGGCGUCAAUGCCGGGUGCCACCGUGAGGGCUUCAAGCUUGCCUGCAACGAGACAUAUCAUCCCCCAAAGCUCUUCAUGAACAGUUCCGGAGUCGAAGUGCUUGAAAUAUCAGCGCAAGACAGCACACUGUGCAUUGACAGUGGGAUCCUCACCUUGGAGGGGGAUGAGUGGCUCGACGGUUUCAUCCAUAUGAACUGGUCAGUCCCCCUCGACAACAGCCUAUAUAGGGUGUUAGGAAGCAGAAUGAAAUCGUUGUUAUGGGGUGUGGAAUCACUGUGUAUCUUCAAUGGCAUCCUCCUCGCGGAGAACCUGCAGACACCACUUGUUCUCCAGAAUGCAUGCCGGAUCAUCCUGUGAUAGCAACUGAUGGCACAUGUUCUAGCAGUGGUUGUUGCAGUGCAAACAACAAGCAGUUUGACUCAAAUAUGUUUCAACUCAUGUCUUGCUUUGGUGGAGAGCAACUGGAGGAGCAAGAAGAAUAAUGUCAUGGUGCUGCAGAAGGCGGUAUCAUUUGAGACCAGCCUUGGUGCCUCUAAAGGCGUACUACACACCAUACCAGGAGUACCAAUUAGAACGGCUGUCAGUUGGGUGUUCAGUAACAUGUCAUGUGCUGAGGCUAGCAAUUCAAGUGACUUUGGAUGCCUCAGUGACAACAGUGAGUGCCUUGAGUACCUUAAACCCGAUGAUUCAAGAGGAGGUCACACAAGCCAGUGUUGGCAUGGCUACGAAGGCAACCCCUACGUGCAACACGGAUGCCAAGAUAUUGACGAGUGUACAAGUCAAGGUGAGUACUCCUGCUUUGGCCAGUGCAUCAACUUGAUAGGGUCAUAUACCUGUACCUGUCCCCAUGGCACCACUGGUAACCCCCCAAAACAAAAUGGAUGCUCUUCAACCAAAUCAAAAAAUUCAGGAUUUGCCAUUGUGGUAGGAAUCGGCAGUAGUGUAGGCACUCUUACAAUUAUCCUCAGGGCUUGUUCGUUUAAUCCUUUCCCCGAGGGGAUUGGAGAGGUUUGAAAGGGAUUGGUGAGGAAUUUGAUUUACAGGGGAUUUAAUCCAUCACAAUCCCUUUUAACCCCCCUCAAACCCAAUGCAACCGAACAAGGCCUCAGUGUUCUGAUUGUAAGACAAAAGCUCAUAGUUUGGAAAGCAAGGAAGUCAAGAGAUUUUUUCUUCAAAAAGAACAGAGGGUUGUUGCUACAGCAGCUUGUGGACAAGGAUAUCGCUGAAAGGAUGAUGUUCAGCUUAGAAGAGCUUGAGAAGGCAACAAAUAAGUUUGACGAGGCUCGAGAACUUGGAGGUGGAGGCCACGGCAUUGUCUACAAAGGGAUUUUAUCUGACAAACGUGUUGUUGCCAUCAAGAAGUCAAAAGUUGAAAUUCAGAGAGAAACAUAUGAUUUCAUCAAUGAGGUUGCCAUCCUUUCUCAAGUGAACCACAGGAAUGUAGGGAAGCUUUUUGGAUGUUGCCUUCAGACAGAAGUUCCAUCGUUGGUCUACGAAUUCAUUUCAAAUGGAACUCUUUCUGAUCAUCUUCAUGUCAGCACUCCACUAUCAGUGCCUUGGAAAGAUUGGCAAAGAAUAGCCCUUGAAACCUCAAGAUGCCUUGCUUAUCUGCACUCAGCUGCUUAUUCAUCUUGCGAGUUAACCAAGACAGACUCUUUGAGAUGCUAG
This 1797-nucleotide ribosomal RNA is filed under the name Triticum aestivum (bread wheat). RNAcentral describes it as "partial small subunit ribosomal RNA". Lineage: Eukaryota; Viridiplantae; Streptophyta; Magnoliopsida; Poales; Poaceae. The record is from RNAcentral.